RNAcentral lists this ribosomal RNA (435 nucleotides) under uncultured bacterium. Its description in RNAcentral is "bacterial SSU rRNA". It matches the Rfam family "Bacterial small subunit ribosomal RNA", at positions 29 to 507 of the family's 1533-position model. The record is from RNAcentral.
AACGUACGCUGGCGGCACGCCUAACACAUGCAAGUCGAACGCAGUAGCAAUACUGAGUGGCAGACGGGUGAGUAACAUGUGGGAAUCUGCCUUGUGGUUCAGGACAACAUUGGGAAACCGAUGCUAAUACUGGAUAAGCCCUUACGGGGAAAGUUUUAAUGCCAUAAGAUGAGCCCGCAUUUGAUUAGUUAGUUGGUGAGGUAAUGGCUCACCAAGACAAUGAUCAAUAGCUGAUCUGAGAGGAUGAUCAGCCACACUGGGACUGAGACACGGCCCAGACUCCUACGGGAGGCAGCAGUGGGGAAUCUUGCACAAUGGAGGAAACUCUGAUGCAGCGAUGCCGCGUGAGUGAAGAAGGCCUUUGGGGUUGUAAAAGCUCUUUUGUAGGGGAAGAUAAUGACUGUACCCUAAGAAUAAGGUCCGGCUAACUUCGUG